CCGUUAUAACCGGCGAUACCCGAAUGGGGAAACCCAGUGUGAUUCGUCACACUAUCAUUAACUGAAUCCAUAGGUUAAUGAGGCGAACCGGGGGAACUGAAACAUCUAAGUACCCCGAGGAAAAGAAAUCAACCGAGAUUCCCCCAGUAGCGGCGAGCGAACGGGGAGGAGCCCAGAGCCUGAAUCAGCAUGUGUGUUAGUGGAAGCGUCUGGAAAGGCGCGCGAUACAGGGUGACAGCCCCGUACACAAAAGCGCAUGUGCUGUGAGCUCGAUGAGUAGGGCGGGACACGUGGUAUCCUGUCUGAAUAUGGGGGGACCAUCCUCCAAGGCUAAAUACUCCUGACUGACCGAUAGUGAACCAGUACCGUGAGGGAAAGGCGAAAAGAACCCCGGCGAGGGGAGUGAAAAAGAACCUGAAACCGU
Molecule: ribosomal RNA, 424 nt
Filed under: Salmonella enterica subsp. enterica serovar Infantis
Lineage: Bacteria; Pseudomonadati; Pseudomonadota; Gammaproteobacteria; Enterobacterales; Enterobacteriaceae
Also listed under: 8 other names
Description: partial 23S ribosomal RNA
Rfam family: Bacterial large subunit ribosomal RNA
Source: RNAcentral